RNAcentral lists this ribosomal RNA (437 nucleotides) under uncultured Clostridium sp. Its description in RNAcentral is "partial 16S ribosomal RNA". It matches the Rfam family "Bacterial small subunit ribosomal RNA", at positions 341 to 792 of the family's 1533-position model. The record is from RNAcentral. Lineage: Bacteria; Bacillati; Bacillota; Clostridia; Eubacteriales; Clostridiaceae.
ACGGGAGGCAGCAGUGGGGGAUAUUGCACAAUGGAGGAAACUCUGAUGCAGCAACGCCGCGUGAAGGAAGAAGGUCUUCGGAUUGUAAACUUCUGUUCUUGGUGACGAAACAAAUGACGGUAGCCACGGAGAAAGCCACGGCUAACUACGUGCCAGCAGCCGCGGUAAUACGUAGGUGGCAAGCGUUGUCCGGAAUUACUGGGUGUAAAGGGUGCGCAGGCGGGACUGCAAGUUGGAUGUGAAAUCCCGAGGCUUAACCUCGGAACUGCAUCCAAAACUGUGGUUCUUGAGUGAAGUAGAGGUUGGCGGAAUUCCGAGUGUAGCGGUGAAAUGCGUAGAUAUUCGGAGGAACACCAGUGGCGAAGGCGGCCAACUGGGCUUUAACUGACGCUGAGGCACGAAAGUAUGGGGAGCAAACAGGAUUAGAUACCCUGGUA